Molecule: ribosomal RNA, 715 nt
Filed under: uncultured archaeon
Lineage: Archaea
Description: bacterial SSU rRNA
Rfam family: Archaeal small subunit ribosomal RNA
Source: RNAcentral
UGCGAGCGGAGGGCAGUUCGGCUGCCCCGCGUACGGCUCAGUAACACGUAGUCAACCUACCCUUGGGUCGGGUAUAACCCCGGGAAACUGGGGAUAAUCCCCGAUAGGUGGGGGUACUGGAAAAGUCCCUCUCCCAAAGCUCCGGCGCCCAAGGACGGGACUGCGGCCCAUCAGGUAGUUGGCGGGGUAACGGCCCACCAAGCCGACAACGGGUACGGGCUGUGAGAGCAGGAGCCCGGAGAUGGAGACUGAGACACGGCUCCAGGCCCUACGGGGCGCAGCAGGUGCGAAAACUUCGCAAUGCGCGCAAGCGUGACGAGGGAACCCCAAGUGCCGAUGGUCUUUUUGAUCGUCGGCUUUUCAAGAGUUCAAAACGCUCUUGGAGUAAGAGCUGGGUAAGACUGGUGCCAGCCGCCGCGGUAACACCAGCAGCUCAAGUGGUGGUCGCGAUUAUUGGGCCUAAAGCGUCCGUAGCCGGGCCAGUAAGUCCUUUGUGAAAUCGGACGGCUCAACCGUUCGGCUUGCAGGGGAAACUACAGGCCUUGGGGCCGGUAGACGUUGAGGGUACUCCGGGGGUAGCGGUGAAAUGCUCUAAUCCCUGGGGGACCACCAGUGGCGAAGGCGCUCAACGAGAACGGACCUGACGGUGAGGGACGAAGGCUAGGGGAGCGAACCGGAUUAGAUACCCGGGUAGUCCUAGCUGUAAAGUAUGCUG